AGGUGUUUUGGAAUGGACAGUUACUGGAAAGGUAACAGAUUAUGGGCAAAACGUGACAUUAUUUUGCAAUGUUCCAAACUGCUGUCCAAAAGAUGCAGGAUGGGACAGAUGGACUCCAAUACAACAGACACUGUUUAUAGAUGUCAAAGCAGGACACCCUAAUAAAAAGUAUGAUGGAAAGGUUUUUCAGGAUGGAUAUACCUUAGUUAUACAAAAUCUGACAAAAGAAGAUCUUAAUGUUUCGUAUUCCUGCUUAUAUGGUGUAACAUUAGGACAGAAGAAAUUUUUAUUGGAAGAAGAAGUAUUCACAGACAAAAGUGAUACCAAACCAACUGGUAACAGUAGAUUCUCUGAGAUUCAAAUUGCUGGUAUUAUAAUUGGGAUUGUCGUUCCAUUAGCAGUUGCAGUAGUGUUUUUUGUAAUAUUUUUGACGAAAAAAAGGAAAAAAAGACACAGAA
Mytilus californianus (California mussel) is the source of this 458-nucleotide long non-coding RNA. RefSeq lists it as uncharacterized. The record is from RefSeq and is a predicted model, not a curated record. The transcript is spliced from 3 exons. Lineage: Eukaryota; Metazoa; Mollusca; Bivalvia; Mytilida; Mytilidae.